RNAcentral lists this microRNA precursor (56 nucleotides) under Monodelphis domestica (gray short-tailed opossum). Its description in RNAcentral is "microRNA mdo-mir-7291 precursor". The record is from miRBase by way of RNAcentral. Lineage: Eukaryota; Metazoa; Chordata; Mammalia; Didelphimorphia; Didelphidae.
UGUGGCUCUCCCUGUGAAGAGAUGCUAGAUUCCAUCUUCACAGGUCCAGGCACAGA